CGACGCUCAACCGCUGAGCCAAGCCCAGCCGGGCUCAAGUUACUUAUUGUUUAGUUGAAGAGACCACAGAAACAGUUGAGAAGUUUAAUAAAUAAUAAAAUUUAAUAUAUUUUUUCUCUUUUUUCCCCCCUCUAGGCUCCUGUUGUAUGUAAAUCUUGUGGUUAUGUGUUUAUUAAUAGGAAACUUCUAAAAAGAAAACAUUCAAAGAAAUCAUCACCUUUUACAGAUUGUUCCAUUAUUUGUAUGUUGUUCUGAGGUAUGAAUCCUCAUGUGACCCCCUCAUCACAGCGGUUUUGAGCCUCCUCUCACUUAUGCAUUUGGGAACUUCUUUUGCUUUUGGAUUUAGGUCUGUAUUAAAACAAGUUUUGUCUUUUGGUUGUAGCUUAACCAGCAUGUUUGUUUGAAGUGGAAGAGGUGGCUUCAUGCAUCAGUUAAAUCUAUAUCAACAGGAAACCUUUCUUCUCAACUUCUGUUCCAUUUAGGAACAACAGGAAGUGAAAAAUACCAUGUCUUUGAAAGAUUUGCGAAUACUUUUUUUAUAUGAAUUUAAACUAGGACAUAGUGCAGCCACAGCAAGUAGAAACAUCAUUUCUGUCUUUGGAGAAGGCUAUGUUAGUGAAAGGACUAUCUGGUGGUCGUUUGAAAAAUUUCGGUCUGGAGAGCUGAGUCUGAAAAACGAGCCUCGAGGAAGACCCAGGUCUGUUUUAAAUGAAGAUGAGUUGAGAGUCAUGGUGGAAGCUAACCGCAAAACAGCAAUUCGAGACCUUGCAGUAGACUUAGGAGUUUCUGCUACAACAAUUUCUCUACACCUGGCUGCAAUCGGAAAGGUGAAAAAAUUGGACAAGUGGGUAACAGCAGUUGAUGGACGAUCAUAAGCUGAGAUGGUUAAAGAUAUGCUCCUUAAGAUUUGAAAGAGCAGAGACCCUAUGAGAGCAUCAUAAGCUGUGACAAAAAAUCAAAAGUUAUCUGGACAGUGAUUGGAUGUUGAUGAAGUUCCCAAAUGUGUUAAAACUAUCGUUCAGCCAAAAAUGGACUUGGUAACUGUUGGUGGUAUGCAAAAAGGGUAUUUCAUUACUGCUUUAAAAAAAAAAUUUUUAUCAUUGAAAGUAUUACAGAUGUCCCCCUCUUUUCCCCCAUUGACCUCU
Miniopterus natalensis is the source of this 1145-nucleotide non-coding RNA. The record is from RefSeq and is a predicted model, not a curated record. Lineage: Eukaryota; Metazoa; Chordata; Mammalia; Chiroptera; Miniopteridae.